RNAcentral lists this ribosomal RNA (214 nucleotides) under uncultured bacterium. RNAcentral describes it as "partial 16S ribosomal RNA". It matches the Rfam family "Bacterial small subunit ribosomal RNA", at positions 1279 to 1500 of the family's 1533-position model. The record is from RNAcentral.
AAACCUGUCUCAGUUCGGAUUGGAGUCUGCAACCCGACUCCAUGAAGCUGGAUUCGCUAGUAAUCGCGCAUCAGCCACGGCGCGGUGAAUACGUUCCCGGGCCUUGUACACACCGCCCGUCAAGCCAUGGAAGCCGGGAGUGCCUGAAGUCCGUAACCGCGAGGAUCGGCCUAGGGUAAAACUGGUGACUGGGGCUAAGUCGUAACAAGGUAUC